CAGCAGCAGUGACAGCCACAGAAGCAGCAGCAGCCACAGCAGCAGCAGCGACAGCAGCUACAGCAGCAGUCUGUCUCACAGUCGCCUUGUUAUCUUCUGCGCGCUCCACAGUAACAUAAUGGGAGCUUCAGGAUCGAGCAGUCCAACCUUGGACGACGUCGGAUUCACCACCAGCGGUGUCCGCAGCGGAUCGUCCGCUUCCGGGUGGCACUCGUCUGAAGCGAAGAGCAGCGGUGGAGGAGUCUCCUCCGGGAGCACCUUUUCCAAGAUCCAGCAGAUGGGUGCUUCCGGGAAAAAAUAAGUGAGAUGGAAGCGUCGCAUCCAACCUGUUGGGUCCAGCAAGCUCCUAUGGAAAGGAUGCAGAUCUCUGUGGUUGACAUUCAAAUACGCAUGCCUAAUCUUCUCAUGAAAAUCGAUUUUUAUUGGAUGCAUCAAUGUGUUAUUGUUUAAAAAAUGGGGGUGAGACAGAUGUUUGAGAACGCCGUGGCGUGAGCCUGGAUAAGUGGAUGGGAAGUGGAUGGGAAGCGGCUGCUGCGGAUUUGUGAUGUGACCUGUGAAGACGGAGGAAGUGGAAACAUCUCGGCAGGGAUUUUGACGAAUGCACUACAUUACUGAAAUCGUGUGGUACUACGAUAUUUUCAAACGUGAAUAAAUCACAAUCUAUGAACGAU
This is a long non-coding RNA of Lethenteron reissneri (Far Eastern brook lamprey), 671 nucleotides long. RefSeq lists it as uncharacterized. NCBI's taxonomy places the organism in Eukaryota, Metazoa, Chordata, Hyperoartia, Petromyzontiformes, Petromyzontidae. The record is from RefSeq and is a predicted model, not a curated record.